RNAcentral lists this unclassified non-coding RNA (535 nucleotides) under Hevea brasiliensis (rubber tree). The record is from RNAcentral. Lineage: Eukaryota; Viridiplantae; Streptophyta; Magnoliopsida; Malpighiales; Euphorbiaceae.
GAAGUCUCUUAAGGAUGAGAAGGAGGCAUUAGCUCGGAAACUGCAAUCUGAAGUAGAUAACCUUAAAACUAGGUGCAAUGAAAUGAAAAGGAUGUUGUUUGAGGACGAGGUGGAGAAAGAAAAAUUAAAAAAGCAGGUAUCUCAAUUGAAAGGUGAUCUAAAGAAGAAAGAGGAUGCAUUGAAUGGUUUAGAUAAAAAGCUCAAGGAUGCAAAUAGUCGAGUAAUAGCUACUAAUGGAAUGAAAACAAUAUCAAAGAACAACAAAGCCAUGCCCGCAUCCGCAGGCUCAAGAGAAGUUGCAAGUCUUAAAGAGAAGAUAAAGUUGCUUGAGGGUCAAAUCAAGCGGAAGGAAAAUGCACUGGAGAGCUCAACUAAUUCAUUUUUGGAGAAGGAGAGAGAUCUUCAAGACAGAAUAGAGGAGUUAGAUCAAAGAUUAGAAGAACUCAGUCAGAAUGCUGAAAGGAUCUCUGAACAAGAUUCCCGAAAGGUAGUUGCAGAAGCUCUUAGUCCAGAAGAAGAUGAAAGUCCCAAUCAA